AUCUUCGUCCGCUCCUCGCCAGAACACUUUGUCUGAGAAAGUGCGCAGGAGAGAGAAGCAGAACAUGAACAUGCUUCUUCUGCACCCAACUCUACUCACUCCAGUACCAUCAACUCACGUUUCAUCUCCGCUUCUCCUCCGUCAAUUUCACCACUUUCCACCACUUAACGCCACCGUCAAUUCAAACACCGCCGCAACCGCAACCGCCACUGCUGGCCACAUUUCUACCUUAACCUCCUCGUCUUCACCCUCGGACGACCUCACUUCCCUCCAUAACCGACGCUACGAUUUCACUCCUCUACUUCGUUUCCUUUCUUCCAGCUUCACUACUGGGAACAACGAAUCUGUCUCGGAUACCGAUUCUCCCACUUCCCUCGAUCCCGCCGAGCUCCGACUCGCCGAGUCCUAUCGAGCGGUCCCUGGACCACUCUGGCACUCCCUACUCAAAUCCUUAUGUUCUUCGUCUUCUACUCUCGAUACAGCUUACGCCCUAGUUUCCUGGCUUCAAAAGCACAAUCUCUGCUUCUCUUACGAGUUACUCUACUCCAUUCUCAUUCACGCCCUCGGCCGCUCCGAUAAACUGUACGAGGCGUUCUUGCUCUCUCAACAGCAGACGCUAACCCCUUUAACCUACAAUGCCCUAAUUGGUGCCUGUGCCCGCAACGAUGAUCUCGAUAAAGCCCUCCAUUUGAUGGCUCGGAUGCGCCGGGAUGGUUACCAGUCCGAUUUUGUCAAUUACAGUCUUAUCAUCCAAUCGCUCACUCGUACUAAUAAGAUGGAAUCGCCGGUGUUGCAGAAAUUGUAUCAGGAGAUGGAGUUCGAUAAGAUUGAGCUCGACAGCCAGCUCUUGAAUGACCUCAUCAUGGCAUUUGCUAAGGCUGGGGACCCCGACCGUGCAUUGUUCUUCUUGGCCAUGGUUCAAGGCCAAGGUUUGAGCCCCAAAACUGCUACCCUGGUUGCGCUAAUCUCUUCUCUGGGGAAUCUUGGUCGUACUGUGGAGGCUGAAGCCAUUUUCGAAGAGAUGAAAGAAGGGGGCUUGAAACCCAGCACCCGAGCUUAUAAUGCGCUUCUAAAAGGAUAUGUGAAGACCCGUUCCUUGAGAGAUGCUGAAUCCAUCGUGUCGGAGAUGGAGAGUAGUGAGGUAUCGCCAGACGAACAAACGUACAGCCUUCUUAUAGAUGCUUAUGCAAAUGCUGGCCGAUGGGAGAGCGCGAGAAUUGUCCUGAAAGAAAUGGAGGCAAGUAAUGUACAGCCUAAUUCUUAUGUGUUCAGUAGGAUAUUGGCUAGUUAUCGAGACAGAGGGGAGUGGCAGAAAUCGUUUUCUGUUCUUAAGGAGAUGAGGAAUUCUGGUGUCCGCCCUGAUAGACAUUUCUACAAUGUCAUGAUCGAUACUUUUGGAAAGUAUAAUUGUCUUGAGUAUGCCAUGGAUGCAUUCGAACGGAUGAAAGAAGAUGGGAUUCAACCUGACAAAGUUACUUGGAACACGCUGAUCGAUUGCCACUGUAAGUCAGGACGCCACGACAAAGCUGAUGAGCUAUUUGCGGCAAUGCAGGAGAGCGGAUGCUUGCCUUGCACCACAACGUACAAUAUCAUGAUCAAUUCUCUUGGGGAGCAGGAGAAGUGGGAGGAGGUGAAGAAUUUUCUGGGAAAGAUGCAAAGCCAAGGAUUAUUACCUAAUGUUGUCACAUAUACCACUCUAAUUGACAUUUAUGGGAAAUCUGGGAGGUUUACAGAUGCGAACGAGUGCUUGGAGGUAUUGAAGUCUGCAGGGUUGAAACCGUCCUCAACAAUGUACAAUGCUUUGGUCAAUGCAUAUGCGCAAAGGGGUUUGUCCGAGCAAGCAGUAAAUACGUUUAGGGUAAUGAGAGCAGAUGGCUUAAAGCCCAGUGUUUUAGUUCUCAAUUCAUUAAUUAAUGCAUUCGGUGAAGACAGAAGGGAUGCUGAAGCUUUUUCCAUAUUGCAGUACAUGAAGGAAAAUGACUUGAAGCCAGAUGUAGUCACAUAUACCACCCUUAUGAAAGCUCUAAUCCGGGUUGAGAAAUUUGAAAAGGUUCCAGCUGUUUAUGAAGAAAUGAUUUUAUCCGGGUGUACUCCAGAUAGAAAAGCUAGAGCUAUGUUACGGUCAGCUCUGAGAUACAUGAAGCAGGCACUGAAGUCAUAACUGAAAACAUGAUGCAGUUUGGCUUAAGAAAAUUGCCUGAUUCAGCUACUGUAUUCGAUUUCAUACCAUUUGAGGAAAAGUAACUGAAACAGAAAAUUGGUCUGGUUUACAGAAAUGAAAUAUGUAGGAUACUUUGCAAACUCGACCCACAAAUGAGAACUUGGAUGAUCCACACUUUCUAAUUUGUUGUACUUUUCCACAUAUACCAGUAUAUAUACAAGUAUAUGUUUAUGCAUGUCCAGAUGUAGAUUUUUUUUUUUUUUUUUUGCAUAUGAUCUACUCAUUCAGUCAUCUUAUUCUUGUGACAUGCUGUUCAAUAUACAGAAAAUAUGAUUUCAUCUAGUAUUGUAGAAUAGAAGAUAUCUACAAAAGUGGUCACAUUUUCCUGUUCACAAGUGUACUGAUGGAUGAAAAACCAUGACAGUUUCGACUUCAGAGGAACUCUGAUGGAUUUAUUUGUCAA
Molecule: RNA transcript, 2624 nt
Organism: Macadamia integrifolia
Lineage: Eukaryota; Viridiplantae; Streptophyta; Magnoliopsida; Proteales; Proteaceae
Gene name: pentatricopeptide repeat-containing protein At5g42310, chloroplastic
Exons: 5
Source: RefSeq, a predicted model, not a curated record